GUCAAUUUAGUUUAAAGUAAAAUGUUAUUUUGUGGGAAUAAAGAAAUCAGUAGUUAAUUGAUU
This 63-nucleotide transfer RNA is filed under the name Archivesica sp. 1 Sanya-2018. Its description in RNAcentral is "tRNA-His". Lineage: Eukaryota; Metazoa; Mollusca; Bivalvia; Venerida; Vesicomyidae. The record is from RNAcentral.